RNAcentral lists this ribosomal RNA (429 nucleotides) under Chloroflexota bacterium. RNAcentral's name for it is "Chloroflexi bacterium partial 16S ribosomal RNA". It matches the Rfam family "Bacterial small subunit ribosomal RNA", at positions 355 to 776 of the family's 1533-position model. Lineage: Bacteria; Bacillati; Chloroflexota. The record is from RNAcentral.
UGGGGAAUAUUGCACAAUGGGCGCAAGCCUGAUGCAGCCAUGCCGCGUGUAUGAAGAAGGCCUUCGGGUUGUAAAGUACUUUCAGUCGGGAGGAAGGUGUCAAGGUUAAUAACCUUGGCAAUUGACGUUACCGACAGAAGAAGCACCGGCUAACUCCGUGCCAGCAGCCGCGGUAAUACGGAGGGUGCAAGCGUUAAUCGGAAUUACUGGGCGUAAAGCGCACGCAGGCGGUUAGUUAAGUCAGAUGUGAAAUCCUCGGGCUCAACCUGGGAACUGCAUCUGAUACUGGCAAGCUUGAGUCUCGUAGAGGGAGGUAGAAUUCCAGGUGUAGCGGUGAAAUGCGUAGAGAUCUGGAGGAAUACCGGUGGCGAAGGCGGCCCCCUGGACGAAGACUGACGCUCAGGUGCGAAAGCGUGGGGAGCAAACAGG